This 601-nucleotide ribosomal RNA is filed under the name uncultured bacterium. RNAcentral describes it as "bacterial SSU rRNA". It matches the Rfam family "Bacterial small subunit ribosomal RNA", at positions 338 to 955 of the family's 1533-position model. The record is from RNAcentral.
CCUACGGGAGGCAGCAGUGGGGAAUCUUGCGCAAUGGGCGAAAGCCUGACGCAGCCAUGCCGCGUGAAUGAUGAAGGUCUUAGGAUUGUAAAAUUCUUUCACCGGGGACGAUAAUGACGGUACCCGGAGAAGAAGCCCCGGCUAACUUCGUGCCAGCAGCCGCGGUAAUACGAAGGGGGCUAGCGUUGCUCGGAAUUACUGGGCGUAAAGGGAGCGUAGGCGGAUAGUUUAGUCAGAGGUGAAAGCCCAGGGCUCAACCUUGGAAUUGCCUUUGAUACUGGCUAUCUCGAGUAUGGGAGAGGUUAGCGGAACUCCGAGUGUAGAGGUGAAAUUCGUAGAUAUUCGGAAGAACACCAGUGGCGAAGGCGGCUAACUGGCCCAUUACUGACGCUGAGGCUCGAAAGCGUGGGGAGCAAACAGGAUUAGAUACCCUGGUAGUCCACGCCGUAAACGAUGAGUGCUAGUUGUCGGCAUGCAUGCAUGUCGGUGACGCAGCUAACGCAUUAAGCACUCCGCCUGGGGGAGGUACGGUCGCAGAAUAAAACUAACAAAGAAGUAGUAGACGUCGACGUAGACGACGCCGACGACGACGGAGAGGGAG